UAUAAAAUAAAUUACCUUUGCCAUAGGCUGCUGGGUUUAUUAGCCCCUUUCUAGCUCUUCACAAUGUAAAGGACAGGCUGACCUAGAGUGAUCUCCUCCUUCCAGUGGGCUCUCUCUCCUCUCACUAACGGGAGCUCUGCUAUUUGUGCAUUUAACAGCUUAACCCUUUGAGUUACUCCAGGGCUCUGUAUUCUUUCAGGGGUAUUUUUUUUUAGAGGGACAGCGUUUAGCUUUGGGGUGGCAUUUUACAUUUUAAAGCAGCUGAUUUAUAUUAUCCAAAUCGUAUAUAUAUAAAUAUAUAUAUAUUUUUUUUUUUUUUUUUAAAUGAACAGAGAUGAAAACCAAGCCCAGGAAAUAAAAAUGGAAGAAACAACACACAAGUUCAAUAGCUUCAGAGGUCAAGAAUUUAUUUGGAUAAGGUCUGCAACAGUGAGGUCUUGCUGGGUGGGGUGGGGGGAGUGCACUCAUUUUAAGGAGCAAAUGUUAAUAAACAUACAGAAGCAUCCCCCUGACUACAUCGAGAUCAAUUAGUGAAAUAGGACCCAUUGCUCUUUUCCUUUAAAUGCCUGACAAAACCAGUUAUUAAAGGUGGGAUCUAAGUCUUCUAGGGAGGGAAGCAAAUGCUCGGCUAUAAUGAGCAAAAGAGCAGAGGUCAUUAUUUCGAUGGGGUGUUUGCUAUUUACUCCCAGUCAUGCACUUGACAUAUUCUUUCUUAUUAGCAAGGCUGGAGCAGCACCGGGGAGCGUGCAAAUAAUUUCCCCCCAAAUCUGGACUCCAGGACAUUCCUCCUGCACACAGAUGAACGCCCCCAUGAGCAAAUUGCCUCUCCAGCCUGUCCAGAGUCACCUAGACUGCUGGCAAAUGGUUUUUUCAGAGCAAGCUUGGAGACGGGGACAGAGUUCUCUGGCGACGGUGCAACUGAGUGCAAUCACCCUAAAGAGGAGCAUUUAGAAGCUAUAAAACCUAAAUGCCCUGCCAUGCAUCAUUACAUCGCACAGUUAUUCAAAUUUAGUAAAUUAAAUUAAAUAAUCUCAAAUAACUUGAUUUCGGGGCUUUAAAAUUUCAUCUCUACGGUGCCCAGUACUCCAUUUCCUUUAUUAUUAUUGUUCAUCCAGUAGAAUUUAUGUUUUUUAUGAAUCGCAGUCCCUGCCCGCCUCGCAGGGGCGAAGCGGCUGCGGUGGCUUGGCGCGCCACCUACCGGCCGAUCCGGGCACAGCGGGCAGCCAGUGGGGCCGCAGCGCACAUGUCACCGCGGAAAUCACAGCCCGGGCGAUGCUCUCAGCUCGUGUGCUAACUGCUCCCCUGGGCUUCGUCGCUGUGGGUCAACUUGAAGUCGCGGGGACAGCGCAGGGAGAUUUGCUGUGCAGGCUGGAGGAGGGUUUUCCGCUCCGGCUGCAAAGCCAGCCAACACCUUUGGUCUGGAGUGUUCUGCGGCUGCCUUCCUGGCUAUUAGAGGCCAGAUGAUCUAAUCAAACUGCUGUUUGCCCGGCAGAUCCGGGAGGCCAUCCCUUCAUUACCAAAAGCCAUUCUCUGCUCAUGCAUGUUACCGAUUGAAGAGGACACUGAUGUUCAGAGACAGGGCGGCUGGUGCCAAAGGCAUGAUGCCCCAGAUAAAGACAAUGCUGCGUUUUGCCAUGUGUUGCAUUUUAAAGAGCAUUUUGUUUGCAGGAAAAUCCCCCCCCCCUCCCGCCCCCCCUCCAAGACUCCUGAAUUCUGGGGAGGCAGGGGCCACGGCCAGGCCGGCCUUGUUUCAGAGGCUGCUUUAAAUGUACUUUCGAUUUAAUAGUUUCAUAAAUAAACCACCGUGAAAUGAUGGCUGUGUGCGUUUU
Long non-coding RNA from Vulpes vulpes (red fox), 1829 nucleotides. The record is from Ensembl. Lineage: Eukaryota; Metazoa; Chordata; Mammalia; Carnivora; Canidae.